GUCUUCAUGGUGUAGUUGGUUAUCACGUGGGUCUCAUAUCAAUCAAUUAAUUGAAAUAUGACUAGGAAACAUACAUUUCCUGGAUAUCCCAAGGCCGGGAGUUCGAACCUCCCUGAGGACA
Aspergillus brasiliensis CBS 101740 is the source of this 121-nucleotide transfer RNA. It matches the Rfam family "tRNA". Rfam says of the family: Transfer RNA (tRNA) molecules are approximately 80 nucleotides in length. Their secondary structure includes four short double-helical elements and three loops (D, anti-codon, and T loops). Further hydrogen bonds mediate the characteristic L-shaped molecular structure. tRNAs have two regions of fundamental functional importance: the anti-codon, which is responsible for specific mRNA codon recognition, and the 3' end, to which the tRNAs corresponding amino acid is attached (by aminoacyl-tRNA synthetases). tRNAs cope with the degeneracy of the genetic code in two manners: having more than one tRNA (with a specific anti-codon) for a particular amino acid; and 'wobble' base-pairing, i.e. permitting non-standard base-pairing at the 3rd anti-codon position. The record is from Rfam. Lineage: Eukaryota; Fungi; Ascomycota; Eurotiomycetes; Eurotiales; Aspergillaceae.